This is an RNA transcript of Tribolium castaneum (red flour beetle), 1681 nucleotides long. It is a transcript of the gene named defensin 1, with no coding region annotated. Lineage: Eukaryota; Metazoa; Arthropoda; Insecta; Coleoptera; Tenebrionidae. The record is from RefSeq and is a predicted model, not a curated record. The transcript is spliced from 2 exons.
AUUUGAAUAACUUAGCUUAGAUGUUCUUUCAAUUUUUUAACCAUGUUGAUAUUUGUAAGAUUCGUGUAAACAAUAAAAUUUAAAACAUUGAGAAACUAAAUAAAUAUUUUUUUAUUAAAAAAUUUUUGUUAUUUUUAGAAACUGUGUUUUUUAGAAUAAUUAUUUACAUGACAUAAUUUCAGCUCUUUUAAACUACCCAGACAACAUGAAUUAGUAAAAUGCGACGUUGGCAUUUCCAUUUGGAAAUAGCUAUUAUUUUAUUAUCAUUAAGAUACGGAAUUGUGACCAAUGGAAAUGUAGAAUGAUGACCACCGGACACCUUGUGACCAAUGAAAAUGUACCACGUAAAUAUUAGUCUGCAGUGAGCAUUUGACAGUAAUCUAACGUCUGAAAAAAAGUUUUUAUUUUUAUUAUGACCGGUUGGAUUGUAGAAAAAAAUAGUCUAGGCAGGUCGAUUUUAAUAAUUAUUAAGAUAUUCGUAUUAUUUCUGACACUCUCCAGCGCUCGUGUGGUAGUAUGUAUAAAAUUUUAUUUUUAAUUUGUUCUUAAAGAAACCCAAUAAUCCGUAAAAAAUACAGUGAGUUACAAAAUUAUGGAAUAACGUUAAUUAUUCUGUUUUGGCAAAAAUGCUGGAACGAUUCAAAUUUCCUUUUAAAAACUGCGUCGUUUUCAACAAUAUUUAAAAUUUACACAAUUGGCUUUUGAAUAAUGACAACAUCGACAUUUUUUAAAAUGAAAACCCCCUAUUUUUUGGCCAUUUCCAUAGACCUUUUAAUUAUUGAAAGACAACAAAUUUAAAAGAUAUAAAAAUUAUCAGUCCGAAAGUUGUUCAUAAAUCAUAAUUACGAAUAACUUGUGGACUGUACAAAAUUUAUUUAGUGGAUGGCACCAUGAAAACUGUAUUUAAAUAAAGAAUUGACUCUUUUUUUGUUAAAUAGGUACCUAUUUGAAUUUUGUUAAUAUUAAAAUUUGGAUUUUUCACUUUUUGAAAAUGUAUUUCCAAAAUAUUGUUAUGUAACGUUUCAUUUUUUGGUGUUGCCAUUUGGACAAUUAAAGUAUCUAUCGAUAUGUCUAAAAAAUCAUUAGUGCUCCCCAUUAAAAAAAAUGUUGGUGACGCCAUUAGUCAAAAACCAAAAGAUACAAAAUUUCAUUACCAUUACCAACCACUAUUUCGCUCACUUCUGCCGUGGAAGUGAAAUUACAAUAUAUUUUUUCGAAUGUCUGGGAAUUACUGCAAAUAAUGAUAAUAAAACCCGACAAUGCAUUGCAAGUCACGACCCCCUUAUCUCUUAUUUAUUUCAUCAUUCUUCGAAAAACCCAGGUAAAGUACAGUUUCCUCUCAAUGCAAUAUAAAAGAAGAUCCGAGGCCCCCUUAGACCAGUAUUCCCAACACAGCAAAAUGAAGCUAAUCAUCAUCGCUCUAAUUGCCCUUUUCUGCGUCUUCGAAACCACAGCCUUUCCAGCAGAUGGAGAACACGUCCGGGUCAAACGCUUCACUUGUGACGUCCUCAGCGCCGAAGGGGGCUUCCGGGGCGUCUCCAUCAAGCUAAAUCAUGCCGCAUGUGCCGCUCAUUGUCUCUAUUUGAAGAAACGCGGAGGAUAUUGCAACGAUAAAGCUGUCUGUGUUUGUCGUAAAUAGAUCGGAAUGUUUUUAUUGGCUAAAUAAAUUAAUUAUCAACUA